UACGAGUGCCUCAAGCGUUAUCCGGAAUUAUUGGGCGUAAAGGGUGUGUAGGUGGUCUUAUUAGUCUUGUGUUAAAACUCUGGGCUCAACCUAGAAUCUGCACAGGAAACGGUAAGACUUGAGUAUGUGAGAGGUUUGCGGAACUCAUGGUGUAGGGGUGAAAUCCGUUGAUAUCAUGGGGAACACCAAAUGCGAAGGCAGCAAACUGGCACAACACUGACACUGAAACACGAAAGCGUGGGUAGCGAAUGGG
Molecule: ribosomal RNA, 253 nt
Filed under: uncultured bacterium
Lineage: Bacteria
Description: partial 16S ribosomal RNA
Rfam family: Bacterial small subunit ribosomal RNA
Source: RNAcentral